RNAcentral lists this transfer RNA (72 nucleotides) under Camelus bactrianus (Bactrian camel). It matches the Rfam family "tRNA". From Rfam's summary of the family: Transfer RNA (tRNA) molecules are approximately 80 nucleotides in length. Their secondary structure includes four short double-helical elements and three loops (D, anti-codon, and T loops). RNAcentral also lists the same sequence under 2 other names. Lineage: Eukaryota; Metazoa; Chordata; Mammalia; Artiodactyla; Camelidae. The record is from Rfam by way of RNAcentral.
GAGGGUAUAGCUCAGUGGUAGAGCAUGUGCUUAGCGUGCACGAGGUCCUGGGUUCAAUCCCCAGUACCUGCA